RNAcentral lists this transfer RNA (61 nucleotides) under Rhoicissus tomentosa. Its description in RNAcentral is "partial tRNA-Phe". Lineage: Eukaryota; Viridiplantae; Streptophyta; Magnoliopsida; Vitales; Vitaceae. The record is from RNAcentral.
UAUUUUUAAUUGACAUAGACCAAGUCAUCUAGUAAAAUUAAAAUGAGGAUGAUGCAUCGGG